This 505-nucleotide ribosomal RNA is filed under the name uncultured bacterium. RNAcentral describes it as "bacterial SSU rRNA". It matches the Rfam family "Bacterial small subunit ribosomal RNA", at positions 28 to 518 of the family's 1533-position model. The record is from RNAcentral.
GACGAACGCUGGCGGCGCGCCUAACACAUGCAAGUCGAACGAGGUCUUUUGAGAAAGCUUGCUUUCUUGGCUGACCUAGUGGCGGACGGGUGAGUAACACGUGAGCAACCUGCCUUUCAGAGGGGGAUAACGUUUGGAAACGAACGCUAAUACCGCAUAACGUAUCGGAGUGGCAUCGCUUUGGUACCAAAGGAGUAAUCCGCUGGAAGAUGGGCUCGCGCCCGAUUAGGUAGUUGGUGAGGUAAUGGCUCACCAAGCCGACGAUCGGUAGCCGGACUGAGAGGUUGAGCGGCCACACUGGAACUGAGACACGGUCCAGACUCCUACGGGAGGCAGCAGUGAGGAAUAUUGGUCAAUGGGCGGAAGCCUGAACCAGCCAAGUAGCGUGAAGGAUGACUGCCCUAUGGGUUGUAAACUUCUUUUAUAAGGGAAUAAAACGUCUUACGUGUAAGAUUUUGUAUGUACCUUAUGAAUAAGCAUCGGCUAACUCCGUGCCAGCAGCCGC